This 253-nucleotide ribosomal RNA is filed under the name uncultured bacterium. RNAcentral's name for it is "partial 16S ribosomal RNA". It matches the Rfam family "Bacterial small subunit ribosomal RNA", at positions 524 to 776 of the family's 1533-position model. The record is from RNAcentral.
UACGUAGGGUGCGAGCGUUGUCCGGAAUUAUUGGGCGUAAAGGGCUCGUAGGCGGUUUGUCACGUCGGGAGUGAAAACUCAGGGCUUAACCCUGAGCCUGCUUCUGAUACGGGCAGACUAGAGGUAUGCAGGGGAGAACGGAAUUCCUGGUGUAGCGGUGAAAUGCGCAGAUAUCAGGAGGAACACCGAUGGCGAAGGCAGGUCUCUGGGCCACUACUGACGCUGAGAAGCGAAAGCAUGGGGAGCGAACAGG